AUACGGAGGGUGCAAGCGUUAAUCGGAAUUACUGGGCGUAAAGCGCUCGUAGGCGGCUUGUUAAGUCGGAUGUGAAAGCCCCGGGCUCAACCUGGGAACUGCAUUCGAUACUGGCAGGCUAGAGUAUAGGAGAGGCAAGUGGAAUUCCGGGUGUAGCGGUGAAAUGCGUAGAUAUCCGGAGGAACAUCAGUGGCGAAGGCGACUUGCUGGACUAAUACUGACGCUGAGGAGCGAAAGCGUGGGGAGCAAACGGGAUUAGAUACCCGAGUAGUCC
RNAcentral lists this ribosomal RNA (274 nucleotides) under uncultured bacterium. RNAcentral describes it as "partial 16S ribosomal RNA". It matches the Rfam family "Bacterial small subunit ribosomal RNA", at positions 523 to 796 of the family's 1533-position model. The record is from RNAcentral.